GCCAGUUGAUGCUGACUCGAAAGGCUGAAGCUGCCUUGAGAAAAGCUGCCAGUGAGACCACCACUUCAGAGGGACUUAGCAACUUUCUGAAAAGCAAUUCAAUUUCAGAAGAAUUGGAGAGAUUUACAGCUAGUGGCAUAGCCAACUUGAGGUGCAGUGAACAGGCAUUUGAUUCAGAUGUCACUGACAGUAGUUCAGGAGGGGAGUCUGAUAUUGAAGAGGAAGAACUGACCAGAGCUGAUCCCGAGCAGCGUCAUGUACCCCUGUAUCUCCAUACAGCCAAGAAUAAAGAAAGAAAGGGAUAGAUGGAAUGAGUUUCAUCGUGAUU
This 328-nucleotide unclassified non-coding RNA is filed under the name Homo sapiens (human). RNAcentral describes it as "KAT8 regulatory NSL complex subunit 1 (ENSG00000275867.3, ENSG00000278458.4)". The record is from RNAcentral. Lineage: Eukaryota; Metazoa; Chordata; Mammalia; Primates; Hominidae.